RNAcentral lists this ribosomal RNA (253 nucleotides) under uncultured bacterium. RNAcentral's name for it is "partial 16S ribosomal RNA". It matches the Rfam family "Bacterial small subunit ribosomal RNA", at positions 524 to 776 of the family's 1533-position model. The record is from RNAcentral.
UACGGGGGGGGCAAGCGUUGUUCGGAAUUACUGGGCGUAAAGGGCUCGUAGGUGGCCAACUAAGUCGGACGUGAAAUCCCUCAGCUUAACUGGGGAACUGCGUCCGAUACUGGAUGGCUUGAGUUUGGGAGAGGGAUGCGGAAUUCCAGGUGUAGCGGUGAAAUGCGUAGAUAUCUGGAGGAACACCGGUGGCGAAGGCGGCAUCCUGGACCAACACUGACACUGAGGUGCGAAAGCGUGGGGAGCAAACAGG